RNAcentral lists this ribosomal RNA (508 nucleotides) under uncultured bacterium. Its description in RNAcentral is "partial 16S ribosomal RNA". It matches the Rfam family "Bacterial small subunit ribosomal RNA", at positions 30 to 523 of the family's 1533-position model. The record is from RNAcentral.
AUUGAACGCUGGCGGCAUGCCUUACACAUGCAAGUCGAACGGCAGCGGGGGAGAAGCUUGCUUUUCCUGCCGGCGAGUGGCGACCGGGUGAGUAAUACAUCGGAACGUGCCCUGUAGUGGGGGAUAACUAGUCGAAAGAUUAGCUAAUACCGCAUACGACCUGAGGGUGAAAGUGGGGGACCGCAAGGCCUCAUGCUAUAGGAGCGGCCGAUGUCUGAUUAGCUAGUUGGUGGGGUAAAGGCCUACCAAGGCGACGAUCAGUAGCUGGUCUGAGAGGACGAUCAGCCACACUGGGACUGAGACACGGCCCAGACUCCUACAGGAGGCAGCAGUGGGGAAUUUUGGACAAUGGGCGAAAGCCUGAUCCAGCAAUGCCGCGUGUGUGAAGAAGGCCUUCGGGUUGUAAAGCACUUUUGUCCGGAAAGAAAUGGCUCUGGUUAAUACCUGGGGUCGAUGACGGUACCGGAAGAAUAAGGACCGGCUAACUACGUGCCAGCAGCCGCCGUAA